This 344-nucleotide ribosomal RNA is filed under the name uncultured fungus. Its description in RNAcentral is "SSU rRNA". It matches the Rfam family "Eukaryotic small subunit ribosomal RNA", at positions 292 to 636 of the family's 1831-position model. The record is from RNAcentral. Lineage: Eukaryota; Fungi.
GGUUCAUUCAAAUUUCUGCCCUAUCAACUUUCGAUGGUAAGGUAUUGGCCUACCAUGGUUUCAACGGGUAACGGGGAAUUAGGGUUCUAUUCCGGAGAAGGAGCCUGAGAAACGGCUACUACAUCCAAGGAAGGCAGCAGGCGCGCAAAUUACCCAAUCCCGACCGGGGAGGUAGUGACAAUAAAUACUGAUACAGGGCUCUUUAGGGUCUUGUAAUUGGAAUGAGUACAAUUUAAAUCUCUUAACGAGGAACAAUUGGAGGGCAAGUCUGGUGCCAGCAGCCGCGGUAAUUCCAGCUCCAAUAGCGUAUAUUAAAGUUGUUGCAGUUAAAAAGCUCGUAGUUG